GACGGAGGAUGCAAGUGUUAUCCGGAAUCACUGGGCGUAAAGCGUCUGUAGGUGGUUUAAUAAGUCAACUGUUAAAUCUUGAGGCGCAACCUCAAAAUCGCAGUCGAAACUAUUAGGCUAGAGUAUAGUAGGGGUAAAGGGAAUUUCCAGUGGAGCGGUGAAAUGCGUAGAGAUUGGAAAGAACACCGAUGGCGAAGGCACUUUACUGGGCUAUUACUAACACUCAGAGACGAAAGCUAGGGUAGCAAAUGGG
This 253-nucleotide ribosomal RNA is filed under the name uncultured bacterium. RNAcentral describes it as "partial 16S ribosomal RNA". It matches the Rfam family "Bacterial small subunit ribosomal RNA", at positions 524 to 776 of the family's 1533-position model. The record is from RNAcentral.